This 255-nucleotide ribosomal RNA is filed under the name uncultured bacterium. Its description in RNAcentral is "partial 16S ribosomal RNA". It matches the Rfam family "Bacterial small subunit ribosomal RNA", at positions 524 to 777 of the family's 1533-position model. The record is from RNAcentral.
UACGGGGGGGGGCAAGCGUUGUUCGGAAUUACUGGGCGUAAAGGGCUCGUAGGCGGCCAACUAAGUCAGACGUGAAAUCCCUCGGCUUAACCGGGGAACUGCGUCUGAUACUGGAUGGCUUGAGGUUGGGAGAGGGAUGCGGAAUUCCAGGUGUAGCGGUGAAAUGCGUAGAUAUCUGGAGGAACACCGGUGGCGAAGGCGGCAUCCUGGACCAAUUCUGACGCUGAGGAGCGAAAGCCAGGGGAGCAAAGCGGG